AUUGAACGCUGGCGGCAGGCCUAACACAUGCAAGUCGAGCGGAUGAAGGGAGCUUGCUCCUGGAUUCAGUGGCGGACGGGUGAGUAAUGCCUAGGAAUCUGCCUGGUAGUGGGGGAUAACGUCCGGAAACGGGCGCUAAUACCGCAUACGUCCUGAGGGAGAAAGUGGGGGAUCUUCGGACCUCACGCUAUCAGAUGAGCCUAGGUCGGAUUAGCUAGUUGGUGGGGUAAAGGCCUACCAAGGCGACGAUCCGUAACUGGUCUGAGAGGAUGAUCAGUCACACUGGAACUGAGACACGGUCCAGACUCCUACGGGAGGCAGCAGUGGGGAAUAUUGGACAAUGGGCGAAAGCCUGAUCCAGCCAUGCCGCGUGUGUGAAGAAGGUCUUCGGAUUGUAAAGCACUUUAAGUUGGGAGGGAGGGCAGUAAGUUAAUACCUUGCUGUUUUGACGUUACCAACAGAAUAAGCACCGGCUAACUUCGCG
This 484-nucleotide ribosomal RNA is filed under the name uncultured bacterium. Its description in RNAcentral is "partial 16S ribosomal RNA". It matches the Rfam family "Bacterial small subunit ribosomal RNA", at positions 30 to 507 of the family's 1533-position model. The record is from RNAcentral.